RNAcentral lists this ribosomal RNA (275 nucleotides) under uncultured bacterium. RNAcentral's name for it is "partial 16S ribosomal RNA". The record is from RNAcentral.
CUGCUGCCUCCCGUAGGAGUCUGGGCCGUGUCUCAGUCCCAGUGUGGGGGGCCUUCCUCUCAGAACCCCUACGCAUCGUCGCCACGGUGGGCCGUCACCCCGCCGUCUAGCUAAUGCGCCGCAUGCCCAUCCGCCACCGGAUCGCUCCUUUGGCCACCGGGGGAUGCCCUCCGGUGGCGUCACGGGGUAUUAGGCCGCGUUUCCGCGGGUUAUCCCCCUGUGGCGGCCAGGUUGCAUACGUGUUACUCACCCGUGCGCCGGUCGCCGGCGGGACG